This 1199-nucleotide long non-coding RNA is filed under the name Homo sapiens (human). Its description in RNAcentral is "HSALNT0373667". Lineage: Eukaryota; Metazoa; Chordata; Mammalia; Primates; Hominidae. The record is from RNAcentral.
AUUCCCAAUUACAAGCCUAUGAACUAAACUCAAAAUCAGCACUACAUCUAACACCUGCCCUUCUAGAAUCAGAAUCCUGUGACUCCUCCAGCCACCCAAGGUGACUCAUGCUGACUUCCUCCAAGUGAUACUACCUGCCUUCUCUGCCAAACCCUCUGGCCCUAACCUAUCAUGUAUGAAAGGUGAAAUAGGAGCAUACUCUGAUUUCACAGUUUUAACCAUCAUCCUGUGACCCCAAAAGUCCAUCACAGGAGGGCAUAUGCACAAAGACAUUAAAUGUAAAAGAAAUGGCCUGUGCUGAGCAACAGAGAAAGCUGUAUCAGAGAUAAAACCAAACAGUAAGCUUCCUAUGACACAGCUCCAGUGGAAGAAGAGAAAGCACCACCUCAUUACUGCAAGGUGGAAACAGAAGUCCAAGAGAGAUUCUUUGUUACCACUUGACAUGGAUGGGAAUCUAGGUACUCCCUGAUGGAGAGAAGGAGGACUGCCUCAUUAUGCUCACCAUGUAACCUACAAUAGCACCAUGGAAGGGGGAUGUGGACGUCUGUUAUCACUGGGUGGUUGUGAAAGCCCUGACUCUAUUGGCUUCUUUGGACAUAAUGCCAGUGGGGAGGGGGAAGAAUGCCUCAUUAAUGCCAUCUGUGGGUAGAAAUCCAGGCUACCCACUUUGCUUUUUGAUAGUGUGGUGGGGGAUGGGGCCACAUAUUUUUUUCUGCGAUAUUUAGCAGAAAUACAAAGCAGUUAUUGCCAACAUUUUCUGUCUUGUUUGCUGCCAUUUUUGUGGUCCUUUGGUUUCAGAGAGAAGGCUUUUGUUGGGACUUCUUUGUUCUGUGCCCACUGUCACUUCUGGGUUACUGACUUCUUCACCUCCAAAUCUGACAAAAAGGCAGAAAGACAACCCAGCAAACUCACCGCCAUAUUGUUUCUUAAAUCUCAAGAUGAAUUACCUCACAGGAUUGCUGGUCAAAGACACUCGGAGAGACUCCAGGCAUGUGACAAGUCUCUCAUCUGCAGACCCCAUUUUCAGCUCAUGAAUGAAUUCCUGAGAUUCACCAUCCAACGGCAGGAAAUGAAUUGUGUAAGUUCAAAAGAAGAUCAGGUGAAGUGGUACGAAAUUCGGUGUUUUUCAUGUUUUUUGUUUUUAUUAAUUUACUAUAAUGUUAUUCAAAACAACAUUCCCAAUAAAGCAAAACAAAUUA